RNAcentral lists this ribosomal RNA (625 nucleotides) under Bradyrhizobium japonicum. RNAcentral's name for it is "bacterial SSU rRNA". It matches the Rfam family "Bacterial small subunit ribosomal RNA", at positions 57 to 726 of the family's 1533-position model. The record is from RNAcentral. Lineage: Bacteria; Pseudomonadati; Pseudomonadota; Alphaproteobacteria; Hyphomicrobiales; Nitrobacteraceae.
GCAAGUCGAGCGGGCGUAGCAAUACGUCAGCGGCAGACGGGUGAGUAACGCGUGGGAACGUACCUUUUGGUUCGGAACAACACAGGGAAACUUGUGCUAAUACCGGAUAAGCCCUUACGGGGAAAGAUUUAUCGCCGAAAGAUCGGCCCGCGUCUGAUUAGCUAGUUGGUGAGGUAAUGGCUCACCAAGGCGACGAUCAGUAGCUGGUCUGAGAGGAUGAUCAGCCACAUUGGGACUGAGACACGGCCCAAACUCCUACGGGAGGCAGCAGUGGGGAAUAUUGGACAAUGGGGGCAACCCUGAUCCAGCCAUGCCGCGUGAGUGAUGAAGGCCCUAGGGUUGUAAAGCUCUUUUGUGCGGGAAGAUAAUGACGGUACCGCAAGAAUAAGCCCCGGCUAACUUCGUGCCAGCAGCCGCGGUAAUACGAAGGGGGCUAGCGUUGCUCGGAAUCACUGGGCGUAAAGGGUGCGUAGGCGGGUCUUUAAGUCAGGGGUGAAAUCCUGGAGCUCAACUCCAGAACUGCCUUUGAUACUGAAGAUCUUGAGUUCGGGAGAGGUGAGUGGAACUGCGAGUGUAGAGGUGAAAUUCGUAGAUAUUCGCAAGAACACCAGUGGCGAAGGCGGCU